GCUAUAGAGUGAGGAGAGGGAGGACAGUGGCUUUUUCUCCUCAUUUUCUGUUCCUAGACCCCACAACAGAUGAUCUCAUCAUACAGGUCUUCUACUCCUUAAGAUAGACAAGAUUGAUGAAAGACUGGAAAUGACUUUGCCUGGACCAUGAUUCAGCGACACUGUCCCUGUGGCAAGACUAUUGGCCAGGCUCAAACGCAGUGGCUGAUCCUCACUGACUCCUCUUCCUAAGGUUGUUGUACUAGGAGCAUCUCCUAACACUACACGGACACAAUUCAAUGACAAAAAUCAGAGAAGGAAAACAAAACAAAACUUCUGGAAUGCCUCUUCAUCUGUACUUAACAUCUGAAGCCUCUUCCACCUGAAUGAUGAAGAUGUCAAAUAUUCUCAGCCUCAAAUUAAUGUGUCAAGUACAUUGGAUUUGUAUCUUUGUGUUCUUUCCUAUCUUCUUAAAAAAUUGUGCUAAUUACAUUUUCAAAAAUUGUUGUUUUUCUAACAUAUUGGUUACAAUAUCAAUAUAUGUGGCUUAAUAAAAUAGUCUCUGAGAACAUGUGCUUUUCUGAAUGUGUCAGGUGGCAGCUUGCUUUUAACAAUAUUGUAAGUUUUUAUAAUCAGAUUUAAAUUGUGUUUAUCUAAAAUAUUUAUGAACAUUGAAUUUAUGGUGAACAAAGCAGAGUCUUCUUUCAAAUCGCAUGUAGUUAUGUUUCAAAUAUGUGAAAUUUUUG
Molecule: long non-coding RNA, 725 nt
Filed under: Homo sapiens (human)
Lineage: Eukaryota; Metazoa; Chordata; Mammalia; Primates; Hominidae
Description: HSALNT0174372
Source: RNAcentral